GGGAGUGAGAAUGCAGACAUGAGUAGCGAGAGACGGGUGAGGAUCCCGUCCGCUGGAUGACCAAGGGUUCCGGGGCCACGUUCGUCGUCCCCGGGUGAGUCGGGUCCUAAGGCGAGGCCGACAGGCGUAGUCGAAUGGAUGAACGGGUGGAUAUUCCCGUACCGACCAUGGACCGGCAAAACCGAGACGGUGAGUACUAACCUCCGCCUCGUGGUGGUUCCUUCCUUCGGGUUGGUAUCGCCGCGUGGUGUUGGGAGCGUAGCCGUAGUAGGUCAGCGCAGGGGUGACACGGAAUGGGAGCCGGCCGCGGAGGUGGUUUUCCGUGGUCAAGCACGCAGCCCGUCCCGUAGGCAAAUCCGCGGGGCGUGUGGGCGAGGUGCGAUGGUGGGGGCCUUGUGGCCCGAUAUCCGGUGAUCCCGGCUGCCGAGAAAAGCUUCGGCGUGAGGCUCGAAGCCGCCCGUACCCCAAACCGACACUGGUGGUCAGGUAGAGAAUACCAAAGCGAUCGAGCGAAUCCUGGUCAAGGAACUCGGCAAAUCACUCCCGUGCCUUCGGUAUAAGGGAGACCCGCUGGGGUGAACCGGCUAGCCCGGGGAGCUUUGGUGGGUGGCACAGACCAGGGGGUAGCGACUGUUUACCAAAAACACAGGUGCAUGCGAAGGCGCAAGCCGCUGUAUAUGCACUGACGCCUGCCCGGUGCCGGAAGGUUAAGAGGAUCCGUCAGUCCUUCGGGAUGAAGCGGUGAAUUCAAGCCCCGGUAAACGGCGGUGGUAACUAUAACCAUCCUAAGGUAGCGAAAUUCCUUGUCGGGUAAGUUCCGACCUGCACGAAUGGAGUAACGACUUCCCUACUGUCUCAACCAUGAACUCGGCGAAAUUGCAGUACGAGUAAAGAUGCUCGUUUCGCGCAGCAGGACGGAAAGACCCCGUGACCUUUACUAUAGUUUGGUAUUGGUGUUUGGUUUGGCUUGUGUAGGAUAGGUGGGAGACUGUGAUGCAUGGACGCUAGUUUGUGUUGAGUCGUUGUUGAAAUACCACUCUGGUCAAUCUGGAUGUCUAACUUCGGGCCAUGAUCUGGUUCAGGGACAGUGCCUGAUGGGUAGUUUAACUGGGGCGGUUGCCUCCUAAAGUGUAACGGAGGCGCCCAAAGGUUCCCUCAGCCUGGUUGGCAAUCAGGUGUUGAGUGUAAGUGCACAAGGGAGCUUGACUGUGAGACUGGCAGGUCGAACAGGGACGAAAGUCGGGACUAGUGAUCCGGCGGUACGUUGUGGAACGGCCGUCGCUCAACGGAUAAAAGGUACCUCGGGGAUAACAGGCUGAUCUUGCCCAAGAGUCCAUAUCGACGGCAUGGUUUGGCACCUCGAUGUCGGCUCGUCGCAUCCUGGGGCUGGAGUCGGUCCCAAGGGUUGGGCUGUUCGCCCAUUAAAGCGGUACGCGAGCUGGGUUCAGA
This 1449-nucleotide ribosomal RNA is filed under the name metagenome. RNAcentral describes it as "bacterial LSU rRNA". It matches the Rfam family "Bacterial large subunit ribosomal RNA", at positions 1284 to 2615 of the family's 2925-position model. The record is from RNAcentral.